Molecule: ribosomal RNA, 711 nt
Filed under: uncultured marine microorganism
Description: bacterial SSU rRNA
Rfam family: Bacterial small subunit ribosomal RNA
Source: RNAcentral
AGAGUUUGAUCCUGGCUCAGAUUGAACGCUGGCGGCAGGCCUAACACAUGCAAGUCGAACGGUAACAUUUCUAGCUUGCUAGAAGAUGACGAGUGGCGGACGGGUGAGUAAUGCUUGGGAACUUGCCUUUGCGAGGGGGAUAACAGUUGGAAACGACUGCUAAUACCGCAUAAUGUCUACGGACCAAACGGGGCUUAGGCUCCGGCGCAAAGAGAGGCCCAAGUGAGAUUAGCUAGUUGGUAAGGUAAUGGCUUACCAAGGCAACGAUCUCUAGCUGUUCUGAGAGGAAGAUCAGCCACACUGGAACUGAGACACGGUCCAGACUCCUACGGGAGGCAGCAGUGGGGAAUAUUGCACAAUGGGGGAAACCCUGAUGCAGCCAUGCCGCGUGUGUGAAGAAGGCCUUCGGGUUGUAAAGCACUUUCAGUUGUGAGGAAAAGUUAGUAGUUAAUACCUGCUAGCCGUGACGUUAACAACAGAAGAAGCACCGGCUAACUCCGUGCCAGCAGCCGCGGUAAUACGGAGGGUGCGAGCGUUAAUCGGAAUUACUGGGCGUAAAGCGCACGCAGGCGGUUUGUUAAGCUAGAUGUGAAAGCCCCGGGCUCAACCUGGGAUAGUCAUUUAGAACUGGCAGACUAGAGUCUUGGAGAGGGGAGUGGAAUUCCAGGUGUAGCGGUGAAAUGCGUAGAUAUCUGGAGGAACAUCAGUGGC